This 478-nucleotide ribosomal RNA is filed under the name uncultured bacterium. RNAcentral describes it as "partial 16S ribosomal RNA". It matches the Rfam family "Bacterial small subunit ribosomal RNA", at positions 28 to 523 of the family's 1533-position model. The record is from RNAcentral.
GACGAACGCUGGCGGCGUGCUUAACACAUGCAAGUCGAACGGUAAGGCCCUUCGGGGUACACGAGUGGCGAACGGGUGAGUAACACGUGGGUGAUCUGCCCUGCACUUCGGGAUAAGCCUGGGAAACUGGGUCUAAUACCGGAUAGGACCACUGCCUGCAUGGGGGGUGGUGGAAAGCUUUUGCGGUGUGGGAUGGGCGCGCGGCCUAUCAGCUUGUUGGUGGGGGGAUGGCCUACCAAGGCGACGACGGGUAGCCGGCCUGAGAGGGUGACCGGCCACACUGGGACUGAGAUACGGCCCAGACUCCUACGGGAGGCAGCAGUGGGGAAUAUUGCUCAAUGGGCGCAAGCCUGAUGCAGCGACGCCGCGUGAGGGAUGACGGCCUUCGGGUUGUAAACCUCUUUCAGCACCGACGAAGCGCAAGUGACGGUAGGUGCAGAAGAAGGACCGGCCAACUACGUGCCAGCAGCCGCAGUAA